AUUGAACGCUGGCGGCAGGCCUAACACAUGCAAGUCGAGCGGAUGAAGGGAGCUUGCUCCUGGAUUCAGCGGCGGACGGGUGAGUAAUGCCUAGGAAUCUGCCUGGUAGUGGGGGAUAACGUCCGGAAACGGGCGCUAAUACCGCAUACGUCCUGAGGGAGAAAGUGGGGGAUCUUCGGACCUCACGCUAUCAGAUGAGCCUAGGUCGGAUUAGCUAGUUGGUGGGGUAAAGGCAUACCAAGGCGACGAUCCGUAACUGGUCUGAGAGGAUGAUCAGUCACACUGGAACUGAGACACGGUCCAGACUCCUACGGGAGGCAGCAGUGGGGAAUAUUGGACAAUGGGCGAAAGCCUGAUCCAGCCAUGCCGCGUGUGUGAAGAAGGUCUUCGGAUUGUAAAACACUUUAAGUUGGGAGGAAGGGCAGUAAGUUAAUACCUUGCUGUUUUGACGUUACCAACAGAAUAAGCACCGGCUAACUUCGUG
This 484-nucleotide ribosomal RNA is filed under the name uncultured bacterium. RNAcentral's name for it is "partial 16S ribosomal RNA". It matches the Rfam family "Bacterial small subunit ribosomal RNA", at positions 30 to 507 of the family's 1533-position model. The record is from RNAcentral.